AGGGGUAUCGUAUAAUGGUAAUAUAGAGGUCUCCAAAACCUUUGAUGUGGGUUCGAUUCCUACUACCCCUG
RNAcentral lists this transfer RNA (71 nucleotides) under Phocicoccus pinnipedialis. RNAcentral describes it as "Jeotgalicoccus pinnipedialis tRNA". It matches the Rfam family "tRNA". From Rfam's summary of the family: Transfer RNA (tRNA) molecules are approximately 80 nucleotides in length. Their secondary structure includes four short double-helical elements and three loops (D, anti-codon, and T loops). Further hydrogen bonds mediate the characteristic L-shaped molecular structure. tRNAs have two regions of fundamental functional importance: the anti-codon, which is responsible for specific mRNA codon recognition, and the 3' end, to which the tRNAs corresponding amino acid is attached (by aminoacyl-tRNA synthetases). tRNAs cope with the degeneracy of the genetic code in two manners: having more than one tRNA (with a specific anti-codon) for a particular amino acid; and 'wobble' base-pairing, i.e. permitting non-standard base-pairing at the 3rd anti-codon position. RNAcentral also lists the same sequence under 13 other names. The record is from Rfam by way of RNAcentral. Lineage: Bacteria; Bacillati; Bacillota; Bacilli; Caryophanales; Salinicoccaceae.